GACGAACGCUGGCGGCGCGCUUAACACAUGCAAGUCGAACGGAAAGGCCUGCUUUCCCUUGUGGAUUGCGGGUACUCGAGUGGCGAACGGGUGAGUAACACGUGAGUGAUCUGCCCCCAACUUGGGUAUAAGCCUGGGAAACUGGGUCUAAUUCCCGAUAGGACUGCAGGGUGGUGCCUGUGGUGGAAAACGAUUUUCUAGUGGUUGGGGAUGAGCUCGCGGCCUAUCAGCUUGUUGGUGGGGUAAUGGCCUACCAAGGCGGCGACGGGUAGCCGGCCUGGGAGGGGGGACGGCCACAUUGGGACUGAGAUACGGCCCAGACUCCUACGGGAGGCAGCAGUGGGGAAUAUUGCACAAGGGGCGGAAGCCUGAUGCAGCGACGCCGCGUGGGGGAUGACGGCCUUCGGGUUGUAAACUCCUUUCGACCGCGAGGAAGCCACCUGGUUGGAAGGGUGGUGACGGUAGUGGUAGAAGAAGCACCGGCUAACUACGUG
This 494-nucleotide ribosomal RNA is filed under the name uncultured bacterium. Its description in RNAcentral is "partial 16S ribosomal RNA". It matches the Rfam family "Bacterial small subunit ribosomal RNA", at positions 28 to 507 of the family's 1533-position model. The record is from RNAcentral.